GUAAUGUCGACCUUAGUGUAGCUGAUGUAAAGAAACCGCCAACAGUGAAAGUUCCGGCAAAUGCAAAUCUGAAAGAAGAACGUUAUAUAAUGGUCAUUCUUGGUCCAGACGAAUGGAAGGAAGCUAAUAUAUCGUCUCCGCAUUGGUUGAGGACACACAUCAGUCGCGCAGAACUGAAAUCAGGCAUAACGU
Molecule: unclassified non-coding RNA, 192 nt
Filed under: Octopus sinensis (East Asian common octopus)
Lineage: Eukaryota; Metazoa; Mollusca; Cephalopoda; Octopoda; Octopodidae
Description: uncharacterized LOC118765305, transcript variant X1
Source: RNAcentral